Long non-coding RNA from Pezoporus occidentalis (night parrot), 1293 nucleotides. RefSeq lists it as uncharacterized. Lineage: Eukaryota; Metazoa; Chordata; Aves; Psittaciformes; Psittacidae. The transcript has 2 exons. The record is from RefSeq and is a predicted model, not a curated record.
UUCUUUUUACUUCUAACAUAUAAAAUGGGUAUCUAAGAGAGUGAGAUAUUACAUAGAUUGGAUGAAACAAAGUUCAUCAGUAGGUUCACAACAUCACAGAAUGUUUAAGGUUGGAAGGGACCUCUGGAGGUCAUCUUGCCCAACCCACCUGCUCAAGCAGGAUCACCCAAAGCAGGUUGCCCAUGACUAUAUCUCGAUGGAUCCGUUCCACAUAAACUUCCAAGGACAUACUCCACUCUUCACCAUCAAAAUUCAAUGAUGAUGCCGUCACACCUUCUAGGUUUGCAUUUCUAGGUGCAAACUCUUCUCUAGCUUUUUCAGCACUGCUGUUUCUCAUUCGCCCAUGGAUUUUCCAGCAGGAAUUGUUUGACAUGCGGGUAGUUAAUAACCCCGCAGUUGCUACGAGAGUGUAGUUCUAAUGACAGGAAACAGGAGGAAGAAGGGGGUACUUUUGGAGUGUUUUAUUGUAAUUUAAGUAGGUUUCUAAGAUAUGAGAAGAUGGUAAUCAUGUCAGAGGUUACAAGGAGUUUCUGUGCAAUCGCAAAUCCAUAUUCUCCAUCCUAACACAGGGUCUGGGAGAAGGGCAGCCAAAGGUAAGUGGCAGAAGCAGGAGGAGUAAGACAGCUGUUAACCAACUCUGGUUUGUCUCUCCCUCUUAUCAGAUCAUAACUUCACAGUAGCAGCUUCCACAGCAAAAUCCUUGUAGCCUUUCCAGAUUAACUUUCAAGCCUGACUCCCUAGACAUGGGAAAUUUCAGACACACAAGAGCAGCAAAUGAAGCAGAGAAGUUCUUCUGGUUGUGACAAACUGCAUGGGAUCCAUCUCUGAUGGAGCUUGGUUUCCUUUGCAUAAAAGCCCUGCAGGUUAAUGGACUAGGUUAAUUUGUCAUUAGGUGUUAGGAAAAUCCUGACAAAGAUCAAGUCCAUGCUGUGAAUGUUUGAUGGGCACCUGUCUGUGUUUUUUCCAAUUGGCUAAGGUUUCCACUGAUGGACAUGUAUUUCAAACUGCUGUAAGGUCAAUCUGCACUCAACUAUUUCAUGCUGGUAGAAGUGCCAAGGAAUGUCACUGAAUGAAAUAAUUUGGGAUACAACAUGGUGUAACAGUACACAAUUGCUCUGCUAAGAUUAUUUCAGUUUUACAUCCACUUAUGAAACUACAACAGAAAUCUGUCUACUGGUGUCCAUAUGUCUGCAACAGGGAAUCUGGCCAGCUCACAGAAACUGCCUCUCCUCCAAGAGCUGCAUACUGAAGCAAAUUCCCAGUUUAUUGAAAAAUAGUUUUGCUAUUUUGCCA